This 253-nucleotide ribosomal RNA is filed under the name uncultured bacterium. Its description in RNAcentral is "partial 16S ribosomal RNA". It matches the Rfam family "Bacterial small subunit ribosomal RNA", at positions 524 to 776 of the family's 1533-position model. The record is from RNAcentral.
UACGUAGGAUCCAAGCGUUGUCCGGAUUUACUGGGUGUAAAGGGUGCGCAGGCGGACUUAUAAGUCAGUGGUGAAAUCUCACAGCUUAACUGUGAAACUGCCUUUGAUACUGUAGGUCUUGAAUUAGGGAGAGAUUCGUGGAAUUCCGAGUGUAGCAGUGAAAUGUGUAGAUAUUCGGAAGAACACCAGAGGCGAAGGCAGCGAAUUGGCCCUAUAUUGACGCUCAGGCACGAAAGCAUGGGGAUCAAACAGG